CAGUGGCGAACGGGUGAGUAACACGUGGGCAAUCUGCCCUGCACUCUGGGACAAGCCCUGGAAACGGGGUCUAAUACCGGAUACGACCUUCCUCUGCAUGGGGGUUGGUGGAAAGCUCCGGCGGUGCAGGAUGAGCCCGCGGCCUAUCAGCUUGUUGGUGGGGUAAUGGCCUACCAAGGCGACGACGGGUAGCCGGCCUGAGAGGGCGACCGGCCACACUGGGACUGAGACACGGCCCAGACUCCUACGGGAGGCAGCAGUGGGGAAUAUUGCACAAUGGGCGAAAGCCUGAUGCAGCGACGCCGCGUGAGGGAUGACGGCCUUCGGGUUGUAAACCUCUUUCAGCAGGGAAGAAGCGAAAGUGACGGUACCUGCAGAAGAAGCACCGGCUAACUACGUGCCAGCAGCCGCGGUAAUACGUAGGGUGCGAGCGUUGUCCGGAAUUAUUGGGCGUAAAGAGCUCGUAGGCGGCCUGUUGCGUCGGUUGUGAAAGCCCGGGGCUUAACCCCGGGUCUGCAGUCGAUACGGGCAGGCUAGAGUUCGGUAGGGGAGAUCGGAAUUCCU
This 564-nucleotide ribosomal RNA is filed under the name Streptomyces sp. 387F05. RNAcentral describes it as "bacterial SSU rRNA". It matches the Rfam family "Bacterial small subunit ribosomal RNA", at positions 93 to 671 of the family's 1533-position model. The record is from RNAcentral. Lineage: Bacteria; Bacillati; Actinomycetota; Actinomycetes; Kitasatosporales; Streptomycetaceae. RNAcentral also lists the same sequence under 2 other names.